AAACAGCACCAAUCACAACUACAAUGAGCAGAAAUACAACGGCAACAAAUGGCUCAUCUGAACCCUCAUCUGACACUACACCAACUACAACCACCACAAUUACACCCACAACAAGCACCUCAUCUAUACAAACAGAUAACCCAAUGGCACCCACUGCAAGUAAUGCCACAACAGCAUCUAUCACAACUACAAUGAGCAGACAUACAACGGCAACAAAUGGCUCAUCUGUACCCUCAUCUGACACUAUAACCACCACAAUCACACCCACAACAAGCACCUCAUCUAUACAAACAGAUUACACAAUGGCACCCAUCACAAGUAAUGACAAAACAGCAUCUAUCAACACUACAAUGAGCAGAAAUACAAUGGCAACAAAUGGCUCAUCUGUACCCUCAUCUGACACUAAAACAACUACAACCACCACAAUUAUACCCACAAUAAACACUGAUAACACAAUGGCACCCACUGCAAGUAAUGAAGCAACAGCAGCUAUCACAACUACAAUGAGCAGAAAUACAACAGCAACAAAUGGCUCAUCUGUACCCUCAACUGACAUUACAACAACUACAACCACCACAAUUACACCCACAACAAAUACUGAUAACACAAUGGCAGCCACCACAAGUAAUGCUGCAACAGCAGCUAUCACAACUACAAUGAGCAGAAAUACAAAAGCAACAAAUGGCUCAUCUGUACCCUCAUCUGACACUACAACAACUACAACCGCCACAAUUACACCCACAACAAGAACCUCAUCUAUACAAACAGAUAACCCAAUGGCACCCACUGCAAGUAAUGCCACAACAGCAUCUAUCACAACUACCAUGAGCAGAAAUACAACGGCAACAAAUGGCUCAUCUGUACCCUCAACUGACACUACAAUAUCUACAACCACCACAAUUACACCCACAACAAGCACCUCAUCUAUACAAACAGAUAACACAAUGGCAGCCACCGCAAGUAAUGCCACAACAGCAUCUAUAACAACUACAAUGAGCAGCAAUACAAUGGCAACAAGUGGCUCAUCUGUACCCUCAACUCACAUUAAAACAACUACAACCAACACAAUUAUACCCACAACAAACACUGAUAACACAAUGGCACCAACCGCAAGUAAUGCUGCAACAGCAGCUAUCACAACUACAAUGAGCAGAAAUACAACGGCAACAAAUGGUUCAUCUGUACCCUCAUCUGACACUACAACAAGUACAACCACCACAAUUACACCCACAACAAGAACCUCAUCUAUACAAACAGAUAACCCAAUGGCACCCACUGCAAGUAAUGCCACAACAGCAUCUAUCGCAACUACAAUGAACAGAAAUACAACGGCAACAAAAGGCUCAUCUGUACCCUCAUCUGACACUAUAACAACUACAACCACCACAAUUAUACCCACAGCAAACACUGAUAACACAAUGGCACCCACCGCAAGUAAUGCUGCAACAGCAGCUAUCACAACUACAAUGAGCAGAAAUACAACGGCAACAAAUGGCUCAUCUGUACCCUCAACUGACACUAUAACCACCACAAUCACACCCACAACAAGUACCUCAUCUAUACUAACAGAUUACACAAUGGCACCCAUUGCAAGUAAUGCCACAACAGCAUCUAUCAACACUACAAUAAGCAAAAAUACAACGGCAACAAAUGGUUCAUCUGUACCCUCAUCUGACACUACAACAACCACAACCACCACAAUUACACCCACAACAAACACUGAUAACACAAUGGCAGCCACCGCAAGUAAUGCCACAACAGCAUCUAUCACAACUACAAUGAGCAGCAAUACAACGGCAACAAGUGGCUCAUUUGUACCCUCAACUCACAUUAAAACAACUACAACCACCACAAUUAUACCCACAACAAACACUGAUAACACAAUGGCACCCACCGCAAGUAAUGCUGCAACAGCAGCUAUCACAACUACAAUGAGCAGAAAUACAACGGCAACAAAUGGCUCAUCUGUACCCUCAACUGACACUAUAACCACCACAAUCACACCCACAAGUACCUCAUCUAUACAAACAGAUUACACAACGGCACCCACUGCGGUGUAAUGCCACAACAGCAUCUAUCAACACUACAAUAAGCAAAAAUACAACGGCAACAAAUGGUUCAUCUGUACCCUCAUCUGACACUACAACAAGUACAACCACCACAAUUACACCCACAACAAACAAUGAUAACACAAUGGCACACACUUCAAGUAAUGCCACAACAGCAGCUAUCACAACUACAAUGAGCAGAAAUACAACGGCAACAAAUGGCUCAUCUGUACCCUCAUCUGACACUAUAACCACCACAAUCACACCCACAAGUACCUCAUCUAUACAAACAGAUUACACAACGGCACCCACUGCGGUGUAAUGCCACAACAGCAUCUAUCAACACUACAAUAAGCAAAAAUACAACGGCAACACAUGCCUCAUCUGUACCCUCAUCUGACACUACAACAACUACAACCACCAGAAUUACACCCACAACAAACACCUCAUCUAUACCCAAAGAUUACACAAUGACACCCACUGCAAGUAAUGCCACAACAGCAUCUAUCCCAACUACAAUCAGCAGAAAUGCAACUUCAACAAAUGGUUCAUCUGUACCCUCAGCUGACACUACAACAAUUCCAACCACCACAAUUACACCCACAUCAAACACUGAUAACACAAUGGCACCCACUGCAAGUAAUGCCACAACAGCAGCUAUCACAACUACAAUGAGCAGAAAUACAACGGCAACACAUGCCUCUUCUGUACCCUCAUCUGACACUACAACAACUAUAACUACCAGAAUUACACCCACAACAAACAUCUCAUCUAUACCCACAGAUUACACAAUGGCACCCAGCACAAGUAAUGCCACAACAGCAUCUAUCACAACUACAAUGAACAGAAAUACAACAGCAACAAAUGGCUCACCUGUACCCUCAUCUGUCCUUACAACAACUACAACCACCACAAUUAUACCCACAACAUACACCUCAUCUAUACAAACAGAUAACCCAAUGGCACCCACUGCAAAUAUUGCCACAACAUCAUCUAUCACAACUACAAUCAGCAGAGAUGCAACGGCAACAAAUGGCUCAUCUGUACCCUCAACUGACACUACAACUACAACCACCACAAUUAUACCCACAACAAACACUGAUAACACAAUGGCACCCACUGCAAGUAAUGCCACAACAGCAUCUAUCACAACUACAAUGAGCAGCAAUAGAACGGCAACAAAUGGCUCAUCUGUACCCUUAACUGACACUACAACAACUACAACCACCACAAUUACACCCACAACAAACACUGAUAACACAAUGGCACCCACUGCAAGUAAUGAAGCAACAGCACCUAUUAACACUACAAUAAGCAGAAAUACAACAGCAACAAAUGGCUCAUCUGUACCCUCAUCUGAGACUACAACAACUACAACCACCACAAUUACACCCCCAACAAGCACCUCAUCUAUACAAACAGAUAACACAAUGGCAUACACCGCAAGUAAUGCCACAACAGCAUCUAUCACAACUACAAUGAGCAGAAAUACAACGGCAACAAAUGGCUCAUCUGUAACCUCAACUGACACUAAAACAACUACAACCACCACAAUUAUACCCACCACAUACACCUCAUCUAUACCCACAGAUUACACAAUGGCACCCACUGCAAUUAAUUCUGCAACAGCACCUAUUAAAACUACAAUAAGCAGAAAUACAACAGCAACAAAUGGCUCAUCUGUACCCUCAUCUGUCACUAAAACAACUACAACCACCACAACUACACCCACAACAAACACUGAUAACACAAUGGCAGCCACUGCAAGUAAUGCUGCAACAGCAGCUAUCACAACUACAAUAAGCAGAAAUACAACGGCAACAAAUGGCUCAUCUGUACCCUCAUCUGACACUACAACAACUACAACCACCACAAUUACACCCACAACAAGCACCUCACCCACAGAUAACACAAUGGCACCCACCGUAAGUAAUGCUACAACAGCAGCUAACAUAGCUACAGCUAUAGUAACUACAGCCACCACAAUUACAACUACAGCCACCACAACACCUACAACUAUCACAUCUGAAGCCAUUCAUUUACUAAGCUUCACACUGACAAUAAAUGAGCCAUUUGAUUUUUUACUUACUAAUCAAAGCAGUGAAAAAUACCAAGAAUAUAAAACAGAAAUUGAGUCUUUAGUAAGUGUAAAAUGAUGUAAUAUAAUUCAUGAAUUCACCCUUACUAAUAUUUUAAUGGUAUUAUAUGCAAUAAAGUAUUGUGCCAUUCACUGAAAGCUAAAUAUAACUUUCUUAUAAUUUCUACCCUCGGAUCGAUAAUAUUUACAGAAAUGUACGUGCCUACGAGCCUAACUCUGCAACAGUAUCUGGUUUCAGGUGAUGAUAUUUAUUGUAAUAUAGCAUAAGUAUAUUUAAGUCUUACAAUCAACCUAUC
This is an RNA transcript of Tachysurus fulvidraco (yellow catfish), 4442 nucleotides long. It is a transcript of the gene named mucin-5AC-like, with no coding region annotated. Lineage: Eukaryota; Metazoa; Chordata; Actinopteri; Siluriformes; Bagridae. The transcript has 2 exons. The record is from RefSeq and is a predicted model, not a curated record.